UACGUAGGGUGCGAGCGUUAAUCGGAAUUACUGGGCGUAAAGCGUGCGCAGGCGGCUUUGCAAGACAGAUGUGAAAUCCCCGGGCUCAACCUGGGAACUGCAUUUGUGACUGCAAGGCUAGAGUACGGCAGAGGGGGAUGGAAUUCCGCGUGUAGCAGUGAAAUGCGUAGAUAUGCGGAGGAACACCAAUGGCGAAGGCAAUCCCCCUGGGCCUGUACUGACGCUCAUGCACGAAAGCGUGGGGAGCAAACAGG
Molecule: ribosomal RNA, 254 nt
Filed under: uncultured bacterium
Lineage: Bacteria
Description: partial 16S ribosomal RNA
Rfam family: Bacterial small subunit ribosomal RNA
Source: RNAcentral